Molecule: long non-coding RNA, 1082 nt
Filed under: Homo sapiens (human)
Lineage: Eukaryota; Metazoa; Chordata; Mammalia; Primates; Hominidae
Description: long non-coding RNA NONHSAT203290.1
Source: RNAcentral
GUGCUCCGACGGCCCCACCCCGGCGGCGCAGCCCGCCCGCCCGCGCGUCCCUCGGUCCACCUGCAGCAGGGAGGAAGACAGGCAAUCCCUCCGGCUGUCCGACCAAGAGAGGCCGGCCGAGCCCGAGGCUUGGGCUUUUGCUUUCUGGCGGAGGGAUCUGCGGCGGUUUAGGAGGCGGCGCUGAUCCUGGGAGGAAGAGGCAGCUACGGCGGCGGCGGCGGUGGCGGCUAGGGCGGCGGCGAAUAAAGGGGCCGCCGCCGGGUGAUGCGGUGACCGCUGCGGCAGGCCCAGGAGCUGAGUGGGCCCCGGCCCUCAGCCCGUCCCGCCGGACCCGCUUUCCUCAACUCUCCAUCUUCUCCUGCCGACCGAGAUCGCCGAGGCGGCCUCAGGCUCCCUAGCCCCUUCCCCGUCCCUUCCCCGCCCCCGUCCCCGCCCCGGGGGCCGCCGCCACCCGCCUCCCACCAUGGCUCUGAAGAGAAUCCACAAGGAAUUGAAUGAUCUGGCACGGGACCCUCCAGCACAGUGUUCAGCAGGUCCUGUUGGAGAUGAUAACAGGGUCUCGCUCUGUCAAGCCCGGGCUGGAGUGCAGUGGCGUGAUCUCAGCUCACUGCAGCCUCUGCUUCCUGGGUUCAAGUGAUUCUCGUGCCUCAGCCUCUCGAGUAUCUGGGAUUACAGUGUUCCAUUGGCAAGCUACAAUAAUGGGGCCAAAUGACAGUCCCUAUCAGGGUGGAGUAUUUUUCUUGACAAUUCAUUUCCCAACAGAUUACCCCUUCAAACCACCUAAGGUUGCAUUUACAACAAGAAUUUAUCAUCCAAAUAUUAACAGUAAUGGCAGCAUUUGUCUUGAUAUUCUACGAUCACAGUGGUCUCCAGCACUAACUAUUUCAAAAGUACUCUUGUCCAUCUGUUCUCUGUUGUGUGAUCCCAAUCCAGAUGAUCCUUUAGUGCCUGAGAUUGCUCGGAUCUACAAAACAGAUAGAGAAAAGUACAACAGAAUAGCUCGGGAAUGGACUCAGAAGUAUGCGAUGUAAUUAAAGAAAUUAUUGGAUAACCUCUACAAAUAAAGAUAGGGGAACUCUGAA